RNAcentral lists this unclassified non-coding RNA (169 nucleotides) under uncultured fungus. RNAcentral's name for it is "sequence contains ITS1, 5.8S rRNA gene". The record is from RNAcentral. Lineage: Eukaryota; Fungi.
AAGAGAAAAGGAAGUUCGCUUCCGGGACUUCGGUCCUCACUCUUCACCCUUUGUUUAUCUAUCUUCGUUGCUUUGGCGGGCUUCUCGAUUGAAGAAGUCUUGAUUAGCCCGCCAAAGGUUUUUUGAAACUUCAUUUUUUUUGCUGUCUGAUCAAUUUAUUUAAUAAUCA